RNAcentral lists this ribosomal RNA (763 nucleotides) under uncultured bacterium. RNAcentral describes it as "bacterial SSU rRNA". It matches the Rfam family "Bacterial small subunit ribosomal RNA", at positions 8 to 768 of the family's 1533-position model. The record is from RNAcentral.
AGAGUUUGAUCCUGGCUCAGAUUGAACGCUGGCGGCAUGCUUUACACAUGCAAGUCGAACGGUAACAGGCCGCAAGGUGCUGACGAGUGGCGAACGGGUGAGUAAUGCAUCGGAACGUGCCCAGUCGUGGGGGAUAACGCAGCGAAAGCUGCGCUAAUACCGCAUACGAUCUAUGGAUGAAAGCGGGGGACCGUAAGGCCUCGCGCGAUUGGAGCGGCCGAUGUCAGAUUAGGUAGUUGGUGGGGUAAAGGCUCACCAAGCCAACGAUCUGUAGCUGGUCUGAGAGGACGACCAGCCACACUGGGACUGAGACACGGCCCAGACUCCUACGGGAGGCAGCAGUGGGGAAUUUUGGACAAUGGGCGCAAGCCUGAUCCAGCAAUGCCGCGUGCAGGAAGAAGGCCUUCGGGUUGUAAACUGCUUUUGUACGGAACGAAACGGCUCUGGUUAAUACCUGGGGCUAAUGACGGUACCGUAAGAAUAAGCACCGGCUAACUACGUGCCAGCAGCCGCGGUAAUACGUAGGGUGCAAGCGUUAAUCGGAAUUACUGGGCGUAAAGCGUGCGCAGGCGGUUUUGUAAGACAGGCGUGAAAUCCCCGGGCUCAACCUGGGAAUGGCGCUUGUGACUGCAAAGCUGGAGUGCGGCAGAGGGGGAUGGAAUUCCGCGUGUAGCAGUGAAAUGCGUAGAUAUGCGGAGGAACACCGAUGGCGAAGGCAAUCCCCUGGGCCUGCACUGACGCUCAUGCACGAAAGCGUGGGGAG